UGCUAAGGCCGAUGGCGACCGGCGCACGGGUGAGUAACACGUAUCCAACCUGCCGUCUACUCUUGGACAGCCUUCUGAAAGGAAGAUUAAUACAAGAUGGCAUCAUGAGUCCACAUGUUCACAUGAUUAAAGGUAUUCCGGUAGACGAUGGGGAUGCGUUCCAUUAGAUAGUAGGCGGGGUAACGGCCCACCUAGUCUUCGAUGGAUAGGGGUUCUGAGAGGAAGGUCCCCCACAUUGGAACUGAGACACGGUCCAAACUCCUACGGGAGGCAGCAGUGAGGAAUAUUGGUCAAUGGGCGAGAGCCUGAACCAGCCAAGUAGCGUGAAGGAUGACUGCCCUAUGGGUUGUAAACUUCUUUUAUAAAGGAAUAAAGUUGGGUAUGCAUACCCGUUUGCAUGUACUUUAUGAAUAAGGAUCGGCUAACUCCGUGCCAGCAGCCGCGGUAAUACGGAGGAUCCGAGCGUUAUCCGGAUUUAUUGGGUUUAAAGGGAGCGUAGAUGGAUGUUUAAGUCAGUUGUGAAAGUUUGCGGCUCAACCGUAAAAUUGCAGUUGAUACUGGAUAUCUUGAGUGCAGUUGAGGCAGGCGGAAUUCGUGGUGUAGCGGUGAAAUGCUUAGAUAUCACGAAGAACUCCGAUUGCGAAGGCAGCCUGCUAAGCUGCAACUGACAUUGAGGCUCGAAAGUGUGGGUAUCAAACAGGAUUAGAUACCCUGGUAGUCCACACGGUAAACGAUGAAUACUCGCUGUUUGCGAUAUACA
RNAcentral lists this ribosomal RNA (760 nucleotides) under uncultured bacterium. Its description in RNAcentral is "bacterial SSU rRNA". It matches the Rfam family "Bacterial small subunit ribosomal RNA", at positions 76 to 835 of the family's 1533-position model. The record is from RNAcentral.